RNAcentral lists this long non-coding RNA (453 nucleotides) under Solanum tuberosum (potato). RNAcentral describes it as "long non-coding RNA (STUB_LNC010703)". The record is from RNAcentral. Lineage: Eukaryota; Viridiplantae; Streptophyta; Magnoliopsida; Solanales; Solanaceae.
GUCGACAAGUGUGUCUACUCGACUAACGAAGAAUGAAGCAACACUUGUGACUCUGGAGAGAUCACUUAGCCCAGAAGCCUCAAGGCCAUCAAGGUAAGCAUCAAUGACUGCUUCAUAUCUUGAAAGAGAAAAGAUAAGCUGUGCGUACACAUAGGAUCUACUUCAGUAUUCAAGAAACAGAUAAAGUACAAAAAGGAAAAUGAAAACAUGAAACAUUUAAAAAGAAAAACUGAAUGACGGUUCUUUAAACAUCAAAGAUAUAAUUCUUCAUUCACUAAUUAAUUCCUAUGCAAAUAUCUCUCUUAAGCACCAGUAGACAAGCAACCUUCAAUCUCAUGCAUGAACUGUCAAGUUGUCAACAAAGGCGACAAUGAAUCAACUUACCGUCACAUUGACACUUAUUCCAAGUGAAAUGACUUCCUUGAUGGAAGGAAUGCAUGGAGCAGUAGCAGG